This 429-nucleotide ribosomal RNA is filed under the name Chloroflexota bacterium. RNAcentral describes it as "Chloroflexi bacterium partial 16S ribosomal RNA". It matches the Rfam family "Bacterial small subunit ribosomal RNA", at positions 355 to 776 of the family's 1533-position model. The record is from RNAcentral. Lineage: Bacteria; Bacillati; Chloroflexota.
UGGGGAAUAUUGCACAAUGGGCGCAAGCCUGAUGCAGCCAUGCCGCGUGUGUGAAGAAGGCCUUCGGGUUGUAAAGCACUUUCAGCGGGGAGGAAGGCGUUAAGGUUAAUAACCUUGGCGAUUGACGUUACCCGCAGAAGAAGCACCGGCUAACUCCGUGCCAGCAGCCGCGGUAAUACGGAGGGUGCAAGCGUUAAUCGGAAUUACUGGGCGUAAAGCGCACGCAGGCGGUCUGUCAAGUCGGAUGUGAAAUCCCCGGGCUCAACCUGGGAACUGCAUUCGAAACUGGCAGGCUAGAGUCUUGUAGAGGGGGGUAGAAUUCCAGGUGUAGCGAUGAAAUGCGUAGAGAUCUGGAGGAAUACCGGUGGCGAAGGCGGCCCCCUGGACGAAGACUGACGCUCAGGUGCGAAAGCGUGGGGAGCAAACAGG